This 521-nucleotide ribosomal RNA is filed under the name uncultured bacterium. RNAcentral's name for it is "partial 16S ribosomal RNA". It matches the Rfam family "Bacterial small subunit ribosomal RNA", at positions 33 to 541 of the family's 1533-position model. The record is from RNAcentral.
AUUGAACGCUGGCGGCAUGCUUUACACAUGCAAGUCGAACGGCAGCGCGGGCUUCGGCCUGGCGGCGAGUGGCGAACGGGUGAGUAAUGCAUCGGAACGUGCCCAGUAGUGGGGGAUAGCCCGGCGAAAGCCGGAUUAAUACCGCAUACGACCUGAGGGUGAAAGCGGGGGACCGAAAGGCCUCGCGCUAUUGGAGCGGCCGAUGUCGGAUUAGCUAGUUGGUGGGGUAAAGGCUUACCAAGGCGACGAUCCGUAGCUGGUCUGAGAGGACGACCAGCCGAGCGGUGACGGGGACCAUGCCUGACUGCAUCGGGCGGGAGGGAGGGUGGAACUGGGGACAAUGCGGCCACCCUGCCGCCAGCCUUGCCGUGUGCGGGAAGAAGGCCGUGGGGUUGUAAACCGCUGUGGGCAGAGAAACGCGGCUGUGGGCUAAUAGCCGGGGGGGAUGACGGUACCGGAAGAAAAAGCACCGGCAACAUACGUGCCAGCAGCACCGCUGCGCGAUGAGCCGACGUCUGAAC